This 253-nucleotide ribosomal RNA is filed under the name uncultured bacterium. RNAcentral describes it as "partial 16S ribosomal RNA". It matches the Rfam family "Bacterial small subunit ribosomal RNA", at positions 524 to 776 of the family's 1533-position model. The record is from RNAcentral.
UACAGAGGGUGCGAGCGUUAAUCGGAAUUACUGGGCGUAAAGCGCGCGUAGGCGGCUUUGCAAGUCGGGUGUGAAAUCCCCAGGCUUAACCUGGGAACUGCAUUCGAGACUGCAUUGCUAGAGUAUGGGAGAGGGAAGUGGAAUUUCCGGUGUAGCGGUGAAAUGCGUAGGUAUCGGAAGGAACAUCAGUGGCGAAAGCGACUUCCUGGACCAAUACUGACGCUCAUGUGCGAAAGCGUGGGGAGCAAACAGG